Molecule: long non-coding RNA, 206 nt
Organism: Ornithodoros turicata
Lineage: Eukaryota; Metazoa; Arthropoda; Arachnida; Ixodida; Argasidae
Exons: 3
Source: RefSeq, a predicted model, not a curated record
AGAUGCAGACCGUGCACAAGAUAUAAUUCAUAGAGUGAAUGUUCUCAGAACUGACGGCAAGUUGAGCGCCACGAACGGGAGGUGAUGGCGGCAGAAACACCGAAACGUCUUCAAGGAUCAGGGCUGUCUCUCUACGCAGAGGAUGCUGUGGUGUGCUGGUUAGUGUCCCCAACAAGUUUCAGCGAAUACAUAAGCAGAGAAGGAAG